This 324-nucleotide ribosomal RNA is filed under the name uncultured eukaryote. RNAcentral's name for it is "partial 18S ribosomal RNA". It matches the Rfam family "Eukaryotic small subunit ribosomal RNA", at positions 1470 to 1796 of the family's 1831-position model. The record is from RNAcentral.
CCCUUAGAUGUUCUGGGCCGCACGCGCGCUACACUGACCGGGUCAACGAGUGUUCCUGCAUCGGGAGGUGUGGGUAAUCUUUGGAAACCCGGUCGUGCUGGGGAUAGAUGUUUGCAAUUAUCCAUCUUGAACGAGGAAUUCCUUGUAAGCGUGAUUCAUCAGAUCGCGCUGAAUACGUCCCUGCCCUUUGUACACACCGCCCGUCGCUACUACCGAUUGAAUGGUUUAGUGAGGCCUCGGGACUGGCGCGGACUGGCGGCAACGUUGGUCUGAGCCGGGAACUUGGUCAAACUUGAUCAUUUAGAGGAAGUAAAANUCGUANCA